CCAGGUGAGCAUCUUACAGCCUGGAGCAGCGCCCACACCCCCAGGUGAGCAUCUGACAGCCUGGAGCAGCACCCACACUCCCAGGUGAGUAUCUGACAGCCUGGAGUAGCACCCACACCCCCAGGUGAGCAUCUGACAGCCUGGAACAGCAUCCACUCCCCCAGGUGAGCAUCUGACCACAUUGAAUGGCAUCCUCACCUCCAGGUGAGCAUCUGACAGCCUGGAACGGCACCCACACCCCCAGGCGAGCAUCUGACAGCCUGGAGCAGCACCCACACCCCCAGGUGAGCAUCUGACAGCCUGGAGCAGCACCCACACCCCCAGGGGAGCAUCUGACCGCAUGGAAUGUCAUCCUCACUUCCAGGUGAGCAUCCGACAGCCUGGAGCAGCACCCACACCCCCAGGUGAGCAUCUGACCGCAUGGAAUGGCAUCCUCACCUCCAGGUGAGAAUCUGACACCAUAAAACAGCACCCUGCACCCCCAGGUGAGCAUCUGACAGCCUGGAACAGCAUCCACACCCCCAGGUGAGCAUCUGACCGCAUGGAAUGGCAUCCUCACCUCCAGGUGAGCAUCCGACAGCCUGGAACAGAAUUCUCCAACCACAGGUGAGGAUCUGACAGCCUGGAACAGAACCCCACUCUUCCAGGUGAGAAUCUGACGCAUAAAACAGCACCCUGCAACCCCAGGUGAGCAUCUGACAGUCUGGAACAGCAUCCACACCCCCAGGCGAGCAUCUGACUGUAUGGAAUGACAUCCUCACAUCCAGGUGAGAAUAUGACAGAAUAAAGCAGCACCCUGCACCCCCAGUUGAGCAUCUGACAGCCUGGAACAGCACCCACACUCCCAGGUGAGCAUCUGACAGCCUGGAGCAGUACCCACACCCCCAGGUGUGCAUCUGACAGCCUGAAACAGCACCCUCCACCACCAGAUGAGCAUCUGACAACCAGAACCUGCACCACACACCCCAAGGUGGGCAUCCGAUGGCAUGGGACAGCACCCCCACUCACAGGUGAUGUGACUGCGUGGAACAGCACAUCCCCUCAGGUGAGCAUCUGACAGGAUAAAACAGCACCCCACAACCCCAGGUGAUCAUUUGCCAGCCAGGAACGGCAACCCACAUCCCCAGGUAAGUGUCUGACAGCCUAGAGCGGCACCUGCACACUUAGGUAAGAAUCUGAAAGCCUGGAUCAACACUCGAAUCUUCAGGUGAGCAUCUGACAGCCUGGAGCAGCAGUGCCCACCCCUGGGUGAGGAUGCUCACCUGAGGUUGGGAGUGCCAGUCCAGGCUGCCAGAUCCUCACCUGGGGAUGGAAGGUGCCAUUGUAGGUUUUUGGAUGUUCACAUGGGGGUUAAGGGUGGUGUUCCGGGUUAUCAGAUGCUCACCUGGGGACGCGUGGAAAACCAUGCCCACCACAAGGUGAGCAUAUGACAGCCCGGAACAACACCCUCCACCCCCAGGUGAGCAUCUGACAGCCUGGAACAGAACCCCACAACUUCAAAUAAGAAUUUGAUAAGUGGGAAAAAGCUCCCCGCCCUCAGGUGAGUGUCUGACAGCCUGGAACAGCACCCCACAACUGCAGGUGAGCAUCUGAUAGCCUGGAUAGGCACUCCACACAGCCAGGUGAGCAGCUGAAAGCCUGGAAUGGUAACCCACAUGCAGGUGAGCAUCCGACAGCCUGGAACAGCAGCUCACAUCCCCAGGUAAGAUUCCAACAGCAUGGAACAAGACCACUGCCCCCAGGUGAGCAUCUGGCAGCCUGGUAAAACAACCCCCUUCAGGUGAGCAUCCGACAGCCUGGAACAGCAGCUCACAUCCCCAGGUAAGAUUCCAACAGCAUGGAACAAGACCACUGCCCCCAGGUGAGCAUCUGGCAGCCUGGAAAAACAACCCCCUUCAGGUGAGCAUCUGACAGCCUGGAACAGCACCCUCCACCUUCAGGUGAGAAUAUGACAGCCUGAAACAGCACCCCACACCCCAGGCAAAAAUCUGACAGCAUGGAACAAGACCACUGCCCCCAGGUGAGCAUUUGACAGCCCGGGAAAGUACCCUCCAUGCACAGGUGAGCAUCUGACAGCCUGGAAACCCCCCCACUGCUUCCAGGUGAACAUCUGAUAGCCUGGAACAGAACCCCAGUUCUCCAAGUAAGGAUCUGAAAGCACGGAACAGCACUCUCACCCCCAGGGGAGCAUCUGACAACCUAGAACAGCACCCUCACCCCGAGGUGGGCAUCUGGCAGCAUAAAACAGCACCCCUACUGGCAGAUGAGCAUAUGACAGCGUGGAACAGCACCCACGCACCCAGGUGAGCAUCUGACAGCCUGGAACAGCACCCCACACCCCCAGGUGAGCAUCUGACAGCCUGGAACAGCACCCACACCCCCAGGUGAGCAUCUGACAGCCUGGAGCAGCACCCUACACCCCCAGGGGAGCAUCUGACAGUCUGGAGCAGCACCCACACCCCCAGGUGAGCAUCUGACAUCCUGGAACAGCACCCCACGCCCCCAGGUGAGCACCUGACAGCCUGGAACAGCACCCCACACCCCCAGGUGAGCAUCUGACAGCCUGGAACAGCACCCACACCCCCAGGUGAGCAUCUGACAGCCUGGAGCAGCACCCCACACCUCCAGGGGAGCAUCUGACAUCCUGGAACAGCACCCCACACCCCCAGUGAGCAUCUGACAACCUGGAGCAGCACCCCACACCUCCAGGGGAGCAUCUGACAUCCUGGAACAGCACCCCACACCUCCAGGGGGAGCAUCUGACAGCCUGGAGCAACACCCCACACCUCCAGGGGAGCAUCUGACAGCCUGGAACAGCACUCCACACCUCCAGGGGAGCAUCUGACAGCAUGGACAAGUCCUGCCCCCCGAACUCCAGCCCUUAAGAAAAUCAGAAGCCCUGGCAGGCACAUUGCCUCUGUGCUGUGCUUUUACCCAGCGAAGCAUCAGGGCAGACAGCCAAUUUCAACACUGCUCUUGGCUGGGAAGUGCCCUCAUCUCUGGCAGCCCCCACAGAGAAAGUGCAGGGCCCCGGGGCUGUGGCUGCCUCAGGGCAGGUCUCCCUUGUGACAGCCUCUUGUCAUGGGCCUGGGAGUGGACCCCUCCCAUCCCUGCCGUGCAUCCUGUUGAGUAGACAGCUCAGGCUAGUACCCAAGAGGGUGGCCAGCAGAUCACAGGGGAUGUCCCUUUUGUCUUAGCUGUUUAUGGGCUGGAGGAACCACUGUUCAGCCACAUCUCCUCUCCUGCCCCUCCUGCAUUCACCCGAGGUUGAUGGGAGCUCUGUGGGGGGAGACAGGCAGGGGAGGGGCCAGGCAACACCUGGGCAUAUCCCCAGGGUGCCUCCUCUGAUCCCCAGGAGGGGCAGCACCCACCCUCUUCUUUUUCCAAUUUGUUUUUAUUGUGGUUAAAUAUACAUAACGUAAAAUUUA
Molecule: long non-coding RNA, 3428 nt
Filed under: Homo sapiens (human)
Lineage: Eukaryota; Metazoa; Chordata; Mammalia; Primates; Hominidae
Description: HSALNT0289828
Source: RNAcentral